UUCGCCAGGGAACAACGAGCCCCAGCUUAGAACCCAAAGGACUUGGCGGUGCUUUAGACCCCCCUAGAGGAGCCUGUUCUAGAACCGAUACUCCCCGUUCAACCUCACCCUCUUUUGUUUUCCCCGCCUAUAUACCGCCGUCGUCAGCUUACCCUGUGAAGGCCUCAUAGUUAGCAAAGUUGGUAUAACCUAAAACGUCAGGUCGAGGUGUAGCGGAUGAGAGGGGAAGAAAUGGGCUACAUUUACUGACCCAGUAAACACGAAUAUUGCACUGAAAUAAGCAUUUGAAGGAGGAUUUAGCAGUAAGGGGCGAACAGAGAGCCCCCCUGAAAACGGCCCUUAAGCGCGCACACACCGCCCGUCACUCUCCCCAAUUAGAUACAACAAAUAAUUAAUACAAAAUAAUUAAACAAGGGGAGGCAAGUCGUAACAUGGUAAGUGUACCGGAAGGUGCACUUGGAAAAAC
This 466-nucleotide ribosomal RNA is filed under the name Discordipinna griessingeri (spikefin goby). Its description in RNAcentral is "partial 12S ribosomal RNA". It matches the Rfam family "Bacterial small subunit ribosomal RNA", at positions 868 to 1527 of the family's 1533-position model. The record is from RNAcentral. Lineage: Eukaryota; Metazoa; Chordata; Actinopteri; Gobiiformes; Gobiidae.